UUACUUUGUGUUCUUCACUCUCGCGGUGUGUUGUGAUCGUUCGAAACUCAUUGCCAGAACGAAUGUAAAUUUCAUUUGGGAAGGAUCGGUGCCGGAAGAUGCAGUGAAAAUUAUGAAAUGUUAAUAGAAAAGUGAUUAAGUAAAUCGUGAAAGAUGUCAUCGCAGGCGUAAAUGCAGUUUGUUUUGUUACAUGAUCUACGGCUAUUUCAUCACCAAAGCUCCUGAUAACAGAUCAAAGCAGAUGGAUAGGGUAUACAGAGUCGCCGUUUAAUUUAAAAUAUCUUCGUGAUCGGCAAACGCAUCAAACAGCAAGUGUUUCUCUUCCAACAGCACGCACCAUCGGUGGAUCAAGCAGCUAACGAUUUGAUCGCCAGUACGCGCCAUCAAGAAUUGAUAUUUUGCCAAACAGUACUGUGAAUAAAAAACUGCACACUUGCUGUCAAAAUUUCCUGGAAUUUU
Molecule: long non-coding RNA, 459 nt
Organism: Anopheles merus
Lineage: Eukaryota; Metazoa; Arthropoda; Insecta; Diptera; Culicidae
Exons: 3
Source: RefSeq, a predicted model, not a curated record